Molecule: long non-coding RNA, 508 nt
Filed under: Ananas comosus (pineapple)
Lineage: Eukaryota; Viridiplantae; Streptophyta; Magnoliopsida; Poales; Bromeliaceae
Description: long non-coding RNA (ACOM_LNC036249)
Source: RNAcentral
UUUAGUCACUGUAACGCCCCGAAUAGUCCCACAUCGAGUGGGAUACUGAUUCCGAUCAGUUUAUAUGAGGCCUACACGCUAGUAAUAAUAAUUGGGCUUAAGCAUUUUGGGCCGGUGGUUUAGGCCCAACGAGUUAUUGUUGCUAGUGGGUCGGGUCGUUGCUAUUGGUAUCAGAGCUGAAUACCAGCCAGAAGUGUGAGAGCUAAGUGCUAUGCGCUACAAAGUGCUACACCAAUGAAUUUGGUGGGAGCCACCUCUAGAAUCUGAAUCUCACAUCGCCUGGUAAUUCUGCUCCUGGUCUGUUUGUGAUCUGGUUUAGACCCUAAUAGUCUCACAUCGGGUGGGAUACUAAUUCUGAUCAGUUUAUAUGAGGCAUACACGCUAUUAAUAAUAACUGGACUGAAGCAUUUUGGGCCGGUGGUUUGGGCCCAACGAGUUAUUGUUGCUAGAGGGUCGGGUGGUUGCAGUCACUUCAUCGGCCUUGAUAAAACUUUCCAAAACCACUCAC